Molecule: ribosomal RNA, 507 nt
Filed under: Triticum aestivum (bread wheat)
Lineage: Eukaryota; Viridiplantae; Streptophyta; Magnoliopsida; Poales; Poaceae
Description: partial small subunit ribosomal RNA
Source: RNAcentral
AUGGCGGCGAGAGCAAGAACGGUGGCCGCCAUGUCCAGCAACAGCAGCAUCCUCCUGGCCGCGGCGGUGGCACUGGCACUGCUGGUGUCGUCGGCGUCGGCGCAGUCCGGUUGCACGGCGGCGCUGGUCGGCCUAUACCCGUGCAUGAACUACAUCAGCGGCAACGACACGGCGCCGACCAAGUCCUGCUGCUCGCAGCUCGGCUCCGUCGUGCAGUCCCAGCCGCAGUGCCUCUGCAGCGCACUUGGCGGCGACUCGUCGUCGCUCGGUGGCAUGACCAUCAACAAGACGCGCGCUCUCGAGCUCCCCAAUGCGUGCAGCGUGCAGACCCCGCCGGCGAGCAAGUGCAACGGCGCUGGAGGUGGCAGUGCUCCGGGCGCUGGCUCAGGAUCGAAGACGACGCCGACGGCGUACUUGCAGGGGAGCGGCGGGUCGUCGUUACAUGGCACGGCGCGUCUGGUGCUCGCGCUCUCGGCUGCUGCGAUCUUCGUCGUGUCCACCGUGUGA